RNAcentral lists this ribosomal RNA (447 nucleotides) under Notocomplana humilis. RNAcentral's name for it is "partial 16S ribosomal RNA". It matches the Rfam family "Bacterial large subunit ribosomal RNA", at positions 1829 to 2597 of the family's 2925-position model. The record is from RNAcentral. Lineage: Eukaryota; Metazoa; Platyhelminthes; Polycladida; Notocomplanidae.
UUCCUUUAGUAUAUAUUUAAAGGUAUUGCCUGCCCAAUGUCAAAAUAAAUGGCUGCGGUAUCUUAACUGCACUAAGGUAGCAUAAUUAAUUGUCUUUUAAAUGGUGACCUGUUUGAACGGCUUAAUGAGAAAAAAAUUUUCUUUUAAUUACAAUAAAAUUAUAUUUCAAGGUUAAAAUACCUGAUUAUAAAAAAAAGACGAGAAGACCCUGUUGAGUUUUACAUUGAUAAUAAUGUUAAAAUGGGAAAUUUAACCUUUUUUUAAGGUUUAGUAGAUCCUGGAAUCAAGAAUGCAUUCUGGAUAUAGGAUAAAGUUACCACAGGGAUAACAGGACAAUAUUUGCUAAGAGUUCUAAUCGAAGCAAAUGGUUGUUACCUCGAUGUUGAAUCGAAAUAUCUUUUUGAUGCAGCAGUCAAAAAAGUGGGUCUGUUCGACCUUUUAAAUUUC